RNAcentral lists this transfer RNA (114 nucleotides) under Mycolicibacterium sp. CBMA 230. RNAcentral's name for it is "tRNA-Ala". The record is from RNAcentral. RNAcentral also lists the same sequence under 5 other names. Lineage: Bacteria; Bacillati; Actinomycetota; Actinomycetes; Mycobacteriales; Mycobacteriaceae.
GCUUAGGUGUUCAGUGUUAAUGAACAACUGCGUCUAGUGAACGCUGCUGAAUCCGUACUCAAUGUCGUCUCGUUCGCAUCGAGAAGGUCAGGGGUUCGAUUCCCCUUAGCUCCA